AGCCAGUGUGACUUGGUGGUUAGAGUGCUGGACCGGGACCCAGGAGACUAGGGUUCAAAUUCCUGCUUGGCCA
Podarcis lilfordi (Lilford's wall lizard) is the source of this 73-nucleotide non-coding RNA. The record is from the annotation of a GenBank genome assembly. NCBI's taxonomy places the organism in Eukaryota, Metazoa, Chordata, Lepidosauria, Squamata, Lacertidae.